RNAcentral lists this unclassified non-coding RNA (374 nucleotides) under uncultured Bacteroidales bacterium. RNAcentral describes it as "contains 16S-23S intergenic spacer region". Lineage: Bacteria; Pseudomonadati; Bacteroidota; Bacteroidia; Bacteroidales. The record is from RNAcentral.
UCACAGCUUACGCUGGCAGUCUCAUUAGAGUCCUCAGCAUGACCUGUUAGUAACUAAUGAUGAGGGUUGCGCUCGUUAUGGCACUUAAGCCGACACCUCACGGCACGAGCUGACGACAACCAUGCAGCACCUUCACAUUUGCCAUUGCUGGCUAGCAUGUUUCCACACUACUCAAAUGCAAUUCAAGCCCGGGUAAGGUUCCUCGCGUAUCAUCGAAUUAAACCACAUGUUCCUCCGCUUGUGCGGGCCCCCGUCAAUUCCUUUGAGUUUCACCGUUGCCGGCGUACUCCCCAGGUGGAAUACUUAACGUUUUCACUGUACCACUUGCUGUGUAUCGCAAACAGUUAGUAUUCAUCGUUUACUGUGCGGACUAC